This 253-nucleotide ribosomal RNA is filed under the name uncultured bacterium. RNAcentral describes it as "partial 16S ribosomal RNA". It matches the Rfam family "Bacterial small subunit ribosomal RNA", at positions 524 to 776 of the family's 1533-position model. The record is from RNAcentral.
UACGGAGGAUGCAAGCGUUAUCCGGAUUUAUUGGGUUUAAAGGGUGCGUAGGCGGAAUAUUAAGUCAGUGGUGAAAUCCUGCAGCUUAACUGUAGAAUUGCCAUUGAUACUGAUAUUCUUGAGUCUAGUUGAGGUGAGCGGAAGGUGUAGUGUAGCGGUGAAAUGCUUAGAUAUUACACAGAACACCAAUUGCGAAGGCAGCUCACUAAGCUAUAACUGACGCUGAGGCACGAAAGCGUGGGGAGCGAACAGG